This 668-nucleotide ribosomal RNA is filed under the name Malassezia sympodialis. RNAcentral describes it as "eukaryotic LSU rRNA". The stretch from base 219 to 372 matches the Rfam family "5.8S ribosomal RNA". The record is from RNAcentral. Lineage: Eukaryota; Fungi; Basidiomycota; Malasseziomycetes; Malasseziales; Malasseziaceae.
GGAAGUAAAAGUCGUAACAAGGUUUCUGUAGGUGAACCUGCAGAAGGAUCAUUAGUGAAAGUUUCGGGCCUGCCAUACGGACGCAAACACGUCUCUGGCGCCCAUCACUAUAUCCAUACCAACCCCUGUGCACUGUGAUGACGAAUGUCAUCGAACAAAAAAAAACUCGUAUGGUUGAAUGUACGUGAAAUUGUAGGUAUAGCCUACGAACUAUACACAACUUUCGACAACGGAUCUCUUGGUUCUCCCAUCGAUGAAGAACGCAGCGAAACGCGAUAGGUAAUGUGAAUUGCAGAAUUCCGUGAAUCAUCGAAUCUUUGAACGCACCUUGCGCUCCAUGGUAUUCCGUGGAGCAUGCCUGUUUGAGUGCCGCGAAUUCUCCCUCCCCUUACGGCGGCCGAAAGGCCGAAGUAGGGCGGACGGGGUAGGAUGGGUGUUUGCUGCCUGGGGAUUGUACCAGGCUCGCCCGAAAUGCAUAAGCGCCAGGACCCUCGCUACCGCUCUCUAGGGAAGAGUGGCUAAGCGACCGCUGAGCAUGGCAUGAUACGUCAUUUGCUGUGUGUGGGCGGCCGGUUGGAGAGGUGUCUGCUUUACCAGCCCUAUUUUAAUUCUGGUCUCAAAUCAGGUAGGAUCACCCGCUGAACUUAAGCAUAUCAAUAAGCGGAGGA